RNAcentral lists this non-coding RNA (211 nucleotides) under Desulfamplus magnetovallimortis. The record is from RNAcentral. Lineage: Bacteria; Pseudomonadati; Thermodesulfobacteriota; Desulfobacteria; Desulfobacterales; Desulfobacteraceae.
AAUAAAAGAUUUAUUUCAGGAAUUUAAGGGAAUCCUGUGAAAAUCAGGAACGGGCCCGCCGCUGUAACCGGGGAUGAACCUUUGCCCUAUAUCACUGUUUGAUGUCUGAUUAUCAUCUGUCUGAUGACAGCAGAAUCUGGCAUAAAUGGGAAGAUGCAGAAAAGUAAGUUGAUCCGGAAGUCAGAAGACCUGCCUGAAAAAAUAACUCAUU